GUGCUCGCUCUGGCAGCACAUAUACUAAAAUUGGAACGACACAGAGAAGAUUAGCAUGGCCCCUGUGCAAGGAUGAUACACAAAUUUGUGAAGCGUUCUCUAUUUUU
This is a small nuclear RNA of Piliocolobus tephrosceles (Ugandan red Colobus), 107 nucleotides long. The record is from Ensembl. NCBI's taxonomy places the organism in Eukaryota, Metazoa, Chordata, Mammalia, Primates, Cercopithecidae.